CCUGCCCCUAGGGGCAUCAGGUGUGGCUGUGGUGUCACGUGUGCAUCAUUGGUGACAGAGAGGAGAGAGGCUAUGUCUGUGCUCAGUGUUAUGCCCUAUGAACAAAUGAGUAAUUAGUAGUCUAACAUU
Rattus norvegicus (Norway rat) is the source of this 129-nucleotide small nucleolar RNA. Ensembl annotates it as small nucleolar RNA SNORA17. Lineage: Eukaryota; Metazoa; Chordata; Mammalia; Rodentia; Muridae. The record is from Ensembl.